GGAAGUAAAAGCCGUAACAAGGUUUCCGUAGGUGAACCUGCGGAAGGAUCAUUAAAGUUGUAGUCCCCUGGCCCUUUCGGGUUGGGGUCUUCUAUACCACCCUUUGUUUAUUACACCUUUGUUGCUUUGGCAGGCCUGCCUUCGGGCUGCUGGCUCCGGCCGGCGAGCGUCUGCCAGAGGACCUAAACUCUGUUUGUCUAUACUGUCUGAGUACUAUAUAAUAGUUAAGACUUUCAACAACGGAUCUCUUGGUUCUG
Molecule: unclassified non-coding RNA, 257 nt
Filed under: plant metagenome
Description: partial contains small subunit ribosomal RNA, internal transcribed spacer 1, and 5.8S ribosomal RNA
Rfam family: Eukaryotic small subunit ribosomal RNA (bases 1-54)
Source: RNAcentral